Molecule: ribosomal RNA, 804 nt
Filed under: uncultured bacterium
Lineage: Bacteria
Description: bacterial SSU rRNA
Rfam family: Bacterial small subunit ribosomal RNA
Source: RNAcentral
CCGGAUUUAUUGGGUUUAAAGGGUGCGUAGGCGGCUUUAUAAGUCAGCGGUGAAAUAUUGCAGCUUAACUGUAACAGUGCCGUUGAUACUGUAGAGCUAGGAUUAGGUUGCUGUGGGCGGAAUGUGUGGUGUAGCGGUGAAAUGCUUAGAGAUCACACAGAAUAUCGAUUGCGAAGGCAGCUCACAAAGCCUAAAUUGACGCUGAGGCACGAAAGUGUGGGGAUCGAACGGGAUUAGAUACCCUGGUAGUCCACACUGUAAACGAUGAUAAUUCGCUGUCGGCGAUAUACAGUCGGUGGCCAAGCGAAAGCGAUAAGUUAUCCACCUGGGGAGUACGACCGCAAGGUUGAAACUCAAAGGAAUUGACGGGGGCCCGCACAAGCGGAGGAACAUGUGGUUUAAUUCGAUGAUACGCGAGGAACCUUACCCGGGCUCGAACGGUGCAUGAAUGUCAGAGAGAUUUGACAGUCCUUCGGGACAUGUAUCGAGGUGCUGCAUGGUUGUCGUCAGCUCGUGCCGUGAGGUGUCGGCUUAAGUGCCAUAACGAGCGCAACCCUUGUUGACAGUUACCAUCAGGUAAAGCUGGGGACUCUGUCGAGACUGCCACCGUAAGGUGUGAGGAAGGGGGGGAUGACGUCAAAUCAGCACGGCCCUUAUGUCCGGGGCGACACACGUGUUACAAUGGGAGGUACAGAGGGCAGCUAUCCAGUGAUGGAGUGCAAAUCUCAAAAACCUUUCUCAGUUCGGAUUGGAGUCUGCAACUCGACUCCAUGAAGUUGGAUUCGCUAGUAAUCGCGCAUCAGC